This 277-nucleotide ribosomal RNA is filed under the name uncultured bacterium. Its description in RNAcentral is "partial 16S ribosomal RNA". It matches the Rfam family "Bacterial small subunit ribosomal RNA", at positions 74 to 353 of the family's 1533-position model. The record is from RNAcentral.
UUGCUUCUUUGCUGGCGACCGGCGCACGGGUGAGUAACACGUAUCCAACCUACCCUUUACUCGGGGAUAGCCUUUCGAAAGAAAGAUUAAUACCCGAUAGCAUAAUGAUUCCGCAUGGUUUCAUUAUUAAAGGAUUCCGGUAAAGGAUGGGGAUGCGUUCCAUUAGGUUGUUGGUGAGGUAACGGCUCACCAAGCCUUCGAUGGAUAGGGGUUCUGAGAGGAAGGUCCCCCACAUUGGAACUGAGACACGGUCCAAACUCCUACGGGAGGCAGCAUG